RNAcentral lists this ribosomal RNA (923 nucleotides) under uncultured bacterium. RNAcentral describes it as "bacterial SSU rRNA". It matches the Rfam family "Bacterial small subunit ribosomal RNA", at positions 8 to 916 of the family's 1533-position model. The record is from RNAcentral.
AGAGUUUGAUCCUGGCUCAGAACGAACGCUGGCGGCGUGCCUAACACAUGCAAGUCGAACGUGAAAGGGGCUUCGGCCCUGAGUAAAGUGGCGCACGGGUGAGUAACGCGUGGGUAAUCUGCCCUCGGGAUCGGGAUAACCCGCCGAAAGGUGGGCUAAUACCGGAUAACGUCCUCCUGCUCAAGCAGGAAGACCAAAGGUGGCUUCGGCUGCCACUUGAGGAUGAGCCCGCGUACCAUUAGCUAGUUGGCAGGGUAAUGGCCUACCAAGGCGACGAUGGUUAGCUGGUCUGAGAGGACGACCAGCCACACUGGAACUGAGACACGGUCCAGACUCCUACGGGAGGCAGCAGUGGGGAAUAUUGCGCAAUGGGGGAAACCCUGACGCAGCGACGCCGCGUGAGCGAUGAAGGCCCUCGGGUCGUAAAGCUCUGUCGGGAGGGAAGAACCCUUCCGGGGUUAACAGCCCCGGGAGCUGACGGUACCUCCAGAGGAAGCACCGGCUAACUACGUGCCAGCAGCCGCGGUAAUACGUAGGGUGCGAGCGUUGUUCGGAAUCACUGGGCGUAAAGGGCGUGUAGGCGGCUCGGUAAGUCGGGAGUGAAAUCCCACGGCUCAACCGUGGAAUUGCUCUCGAUACUGCUGAGCUUGAGUACGGGAGAGGAAGGCGGAAUUCCCAGUGUAGAGGUGAAAUUCGUAGAUAUUGGGAAGAACACCGGUGGCGAAGGCGGCCUUCUGGACCGAUACUGACGCUGAGGCGCGAAAGCGUGGGGAGCAAACAGGAUUAGAUACCCUGGUAGUCCACGCUGUAAACGGUGAGUACUAGGUGUAGAGGGUAUCGACCCCCUCUGUGCCGCAGCUAACGCAUUAAGUACUCCGCCUGGGGACUACGGCCGCAAGGCUAAAACUCAAAUGAAUUGACGG